CUCUGUUCAGAACAGGGUUUUUCCCUCAGGGAGCCCCUCAGCCUGUUAGUCUCCAAGAAUUUUCUGGUCUCAGGAUGGACCUGGGCUCACCUGCUCGCCCUCCUCUCUCAGGCAGCCACCACCCACCCAGUCUCUCCUCAGGGUUCCCACCUCCCAAACCCAUCUGCAGAAUGGAACCAUUCUCCUCUCCCUAACCUGAUGCUCUGGGGGCCACAGGCCUCCUCUCUGAGAGCUUCACUGUGGGUCAGGCCUGGGAGGUGGAGGCCUGGGAGACAGUCCACAGGUUCAGGAAAGCCCCAGGCCCUGCGGUGUCAGUCCCCAGGCUGCAGGUCUCCCUCCCCCUCGAGUAUCUCUGGGGCUGCUGCCACUUGCUCCGGUGGCCCAAGAUGAGACCAGAAACGCCCCACUCUGCUGCCCACCACCCCAGAGCCCUUCUUCCCAGCCCUGGGCCUUUGUGGGUCCACAAGGGAGAACAGUAGAUGGAACUAAGGUAUUCAAGGGGCCCCUCUGAGGGAGGUUUUCUGGGGACCCCAGGCCUCAGGGUGACUCCAUAGCUUCACUCAGGACAACCUGUCCAGAUUUGAGGUGUUUCCUCAAAAGGGUCCAUUCAGUGGUCUCAGGAGGCUGCUCCACCCAUGGAGCGGAGGGAGCUCCUGCAGGUCCCCAUGGAGACACAUGUCCUAUGGCAUGCACACAAGGUGUCACGUGAAGUUUCCUCCACGAAGACUCAAGGGCUCCCAACACCAGAGCCUCAGACUGCAAGUAAACGUGGAACAUGGCUCCUGGCUUUGCUCUUCUCUCUGAAAAACCAGGGCCCAGCCUCCGUUCCCGGGGCGAGAGUGCCCUCUAGUGCCCGGGAGGGUGAAGGCCGAGGAGGAGGGCAGGGCCAGAGGCCAAGCCUGAAAGGAGGCCCUGCCAGCCAAUGAGGGGUGAGCCGGCCGCAGCUUGACUUGUGGAGCUGGGAUAGCAAGGGACCCACAGGUAUUUCCACAGGUAUUUCUAAGUGUGUGUGUGUGUGUGUGUGUGUGUGUAGCUAUGUUUCU
This 1043-nucleotide long non-coding RNA is filed under the name Bos indicus x Bos taurus (hybrid cattle). RNAcentral describes it as "lncRNA (ENSBIXG00005008175.1)". Lineage: Eukaryota; Metazoa; Chordata; Mammalia; Artiodactyla; Bovidae. The record is from RNAcentral.